UACGUAGGGUGCAAGCGUUGUCCGGAAUUAUUGGGCGUAAAGAGCUCGUAGGCGGUUUGUCGCGUCUGCUGUGAAAACUCGGGGCUUAACCCUGGGCCUGCAGUGGGUACGGGCAGACUAGAGUGCGGUAGGGGAGACUGGAAUUCCUGGUGUAGCGGUGAAAUGCGCAGAUAUCAGGAGGAACACCGGUGGCGAAGGCGGGUCUCUGGGCCGAUACUGACGCUGAGGAGCGAAAGCAUGGGUAGCGAACAGG
RNAcentral lists this ribosomal RNA (253 nucleotides) under uncultured bacterium. Its description in RNAcentral is "partial 16S ribosomal RNA". It matches the Rfam family "Bacterial small subunit ribosomal RNA", at positions 524 to 776 of the family's 1533-position model. The record is from RNAcentral.